Molecule: ribosomal RNA, 768 nt
Filed under: Niphargus stygius
Lineage: Eukaryota; Metazoa; Arthropoda; Malacostraca; Amphipoda; Niphargidae
Description: partial large subunit ribosomal RNA
Source: RNAcentral
GCUCAGAGUAUAAGCCAAUGGAGCUUGGAAGGCUUCCGCAGAUGGUGUCCAUCAUACGUGGUGUUCUUAAGACCUUGAGUGUGGCUCGUGAAGCGAAGCAUUGAGUUUGCCGACCAGCUGUCGUGCGGGGGGUUCAGCUUGGAAGGGUUGGGUUUCGGUCCAACAGUUUUCCUUCUGUCCCCUUUUGAAUGGACGUUCAGAGCUCUUGGUCUAAUGCGGUUAUGCCCACCACAGCACGUUGUGAGGUCACCCACAGGCUCCACUGCCGAUCGCGCAUCCAGGACGAUGGCAACGAUGCGUUGUCGAUGAUGGCUCGAGAGAGACUUCACUCACACGCGUGUCUAGUCCUGGGUCGGGCGGCGACCGAGAUAAACCUGGUACGAUCCUCUUGCGACGAGCUGCUUUCUGGCCAGACCGACGCCCAGACUCCUCCACUGUGCCGGAAGAGUCAACCCCAGGCGGUGUGAACCCAGCUGCAUUAUGCAAGGUCUCUCAGCCGGGCGUUGGUCUGAGUGGUGUUAAGUCCAGCACCAUCGGUCACGUCUCGAAACACGGGCCAAGGAGUAUAGCAUGUGUGCAAGUCUAAGGGUCUCACAAAACCCGAAGGCGAAGUGAAAGCAAGACUGUGGCGGGGGAGCUACGGCAAACCCGCCGGCCUAGUGGCGCGUGCGUCGCCUGGCUUUUAGCAGAGCUGAUCCUGUUUUCUCGGUUAAUUCUUGGUGCAGGCGCAAGCUCCGGGCUCACGUACAACACUGGUCACGCCUCGCG